CGGCAUAGCUGGGUAGCUAUGUAUGGACGGGAUAAGUGCUGAAAGCAUCUAAGCAUGAAGCCCCCCUCAAGAUGAGAUUUCCCAACUUCGGUUAUAAGAUCCCUCGAAGAUGACGAGGUUAAUAGGUUCGAGGUGGAAGCGUGGUGACACGUGGAGCUGACGAAUACUAAUCGAUCGAAGACUUAAUCAAUUU
RNAcentral lists this ribosomal RNA (193 nucleotides) under Staphylococcus epidermidis. RNAcentral's name for it is "partial 23S ribosomal RNA". It matches the Rfam family "Bacterial large subunit ribosomal RNA", at positions 2733 to 2925 of the family's 2925-position model. Lineage: Bacteria; Bacillati; Bacillota; Bacilli; Caryophanales; Staphylococcaceae. The record is from RNAcentral.